Molecule: transfer RNA, 76 nt
Filed under: Cervus elaphus hippelaphus
Lineage: Eukaryota; Metazoa; Chordata; Mammalia; Artiodactyla; Cervidae
Description: tRNA-Val
Source: RNAcentral
UUUCCAUAGUGUAGUGGUUAUCACAAUCACCUUACACGCGAAAGAAAGUUCCCCAGAUUGAAAUCAAGUGGAAACA